This 501-nucleotide ribosomal RNA is filed under the name uncultured bacterium. Its description in RNAcentral is "partial 16S ribosomal RNA". It matches the Rfam family "Bacterial small subunit ribosomal RNA", at positions 30 to 523 of the family's 1533-position model. The record is from RNAcentral.
AUUGAACGCUGGCGGCAUGCCUUACACAUGCAAGUCGAACGGCAGCACGGGAGCAAUCCUGGUGGCGAGUGGCGAACGGGUGAGUAAAGUAUCGGAACGUGCCCAGUCGUGGGGGAUAACGUAGCGAAAGUUACGCUAAUACCGCAUACGAUCUACGAAUGAAAGCGGGGGAUCGCAAGACCACGCGCGAUUGGAGCGGCUGAUAUCAGAUUAGGUAGUUGGUGGGGUAAGGGCUCACCAAGCCGACGAUCUGUAGCUGGUCUGAAGAGGUCGACCAGCCACACUGGGACUGAGACACGGCCCAGACUCCUACGGGAGGCAGCAGUGGGGAAUUUUGGACAAUGGGCGCAAGCCUGAUCCAGCCAUGCCGCGUGCAGGAUGAAGGCCUUCGGGUUGUAAACUGCUUUUGUACGGAACGAAAAGGUUUGGCCUAAUAAGCUGGACCCAUGACGGUACCGUAAGAAUAAGCACCGGCUAACUACGUGCCAGCAGCCGCGGUAA